CCUACGGGAGGCAGCAGUGAGGAAUAUUGGUCAAUGGUCGGGAGACUGAACCAGCCAAGCCGCGUGAGGGAUGAAGGUCCAGCGUAUCGUAAACCUCUUUUGUCAGGGAACAAAGGCGGGGACGUGUCCCCGGAUGAGUGUACCUGAAGAAAAAGCAUCGGCUAACUCCGUGCCAGCAGCCGCGGUAAUACGGAGGAUGCGAGCGUUAUCCGGAUUUAUUGGGUUUAAAGGGUGCGCAGGCGGUCUGUUAAGUCAGCGGUCAAAGCCCGGGGCUCAACCCCGGCCCGCCGUUGAAACUGGCAGUCUUGAGUGGGAGAGAAGUAGGCGGAAUGCGCGGUGUAGCGGUGAAAUGCAUAGAUAUCGCGCAGAACUCCGAUUGCGAAGGCAGCAUGCCGGCGCCACACUGACGCUGAGGCACGAAAGCGUGGGUAUCGAACAGGAUUAGAUACCCGUGUAGUC
RNAcentral lists this ribosomal RNA (459 nucleotides) under uncultured bacterium. RNAcentral's name for it is "partial 16S ribosomal RNA". It matches the Rfam family "Bacterial small subunit ribosomal RNA", at positions 338 to 795 of the family's 1533-position model. The record is from RNAcentral.